This 1681-nucleotide long non-coding RNA is filed under the name Heterocephalus glaber (naked mole-rat). RNAcentral's name for it is "lncRNA (ENSHGLG00000044697.1)". The record is from RNAcentral. Lineage: Eukaryota; Metazoa; Chordata; Mammalia; Rodentia; Bathyergidae.
GCCACCUCCCAGCUUCCUCCGGUUGUGAAAGCGGCCUUCGAGUCCUGUGUCCACACGAGGGCGAGGGCGAAGCGGCCUGGGCUCCGCGGCCCGGAAGACGUCCGGGUGACGCAAGAGGUUUGAAGUGGAGAGUGAUGAACUGGAUGUGUAUCCUCAAAGGUCAGGACAGCUGCAGAUAAGGAGAGGAGGGGACAGGCAGGCGGCCAACCACUGUGAAAGUGCCACGGAAGCCCAGAGAGACGGUGGAGGACAGCAGCGGCAGGAAGGACACGGCAGCAGAGGGAGUGUGGGUUCUGCAGCAGAAAGAACUGAAGGGAUCAGCCCCUCGUAUGCCCUUCCUGCACAGGGGAAGACCCCGGUCCCGCGGCGGCCUCAGAAGUCCCAUCUGCAAGCUGCUCUCUCACCCUGAUUGCUGGAUUCUCUCUGAUUCAGGGUAGAAACCUGCAGAAAGACUUCCCGAAUAGGAAAACCCACCAGAGCUGCAGUUUUCAGACUGGGUGGCAAAAUCAGUGGGACAAGGAGCAUUAGGAAAGGAAGAAGAAAGGAAAGAAGGAAGAAGCUGGAACAAAAGAGAAUGCAACGAUACCACCUAGGAGAAUCGGGAUUCUUUCCUGAAACUCGAAUCAUAAAAAGAAUACGGUGUGUUGUACAUUUGGAAUCGAGGUGUUGAAUACACGUCUUACUCGGGUUGCUGUCAAAAAAUGUUUGAAAGCCACUGGCCUGGACUUUUUCUUUUUCUUUCUUUUGAAUGCUUAGAGUAGAAAGGUUUGAAAAGCCAUCUAAUUUAUUUCUCUACGCCUAGACAGUAUUUCAUUUUAAGAACAGUACAGACUUUAAUUAUUUUCUUGCUUAUCGUCCCAUCUCAGCAUUUGCGCCUGAUGAUUUGUGAAUAAUUUGUCUCUUUAAAGCUAUUAUUUCAGUUGGGAAAGCGAUAAAUUAAAAUAGGAAGGCAAUUCUGCCAAGCUUCCCUUCUCUGUCUCCUCUUCUCCCCGUCAUCAGGCCGUGGACACAUUCCAAAUGCGCUGCGGGCCAAGCCUGGCAGGGUCCCCGAGCCCGCCUUCUGUCGCCCUGUCCUGUAAUCAAAUACCCCAGUGGAGCUACGGGUGGUUGUUUUGUAUUGAGGAUUGAACCCAGGGCCUUUGCACUGAAUUACUUACACCCUCAGCCCUUUUUAGUUUUCAUUUUGAGACAGGGUCUUGCCAAAUUGCCUGGCUGGGACUCCAACUUGCAGUCUUUCUGCCUCAGCCUCCCAGAGUGCAGAGCAUACAGGCUUAUACCACCACACCUUUUGUUUGUUUGUUCUUUGGUAUUAGGGAAUUGAACUCAGGACCUUGCACUUGCGAAGCAGGGCAGUACCACUGAGCUAAGUCCCCUAAGUCCCCGGCUUAAUGUUCCUUUUUUGAGUUCAAGUUCCACUAUGAAGUUCAACUUGGCCUUGAACUUGCUAUUGUACCUAGGCUGUCCUUGAACUCUCUAUCCUCCUGCUUCAGCCUCCCAAGGCAUAGGAAUACAGGUAUAUACCACCACCUCUGGCAAAUUUUAGUAUUUCUUUAUCUCAUUCCCUCUUUUUACUUAUUUUUUAAAAAAUUAUCCCCAUGGAUAGGUAAUAGAAACACCUGAUGUACUUGAAUUUGACUUUGUCCCUUCUCAGUAGGGUAGGUCCCUGUUGUGCUAAUCAGGG